CGGACGGGUGAGAAUGCUUGGGAAUCUGGCUUAUGGAGGGGGAUAACGACGGGAAACUGUCGCUAAUACCGCGUAGAAUCGAGAGAUGAAAGUGCGGGACCGCAAGGCCGCAUGCCAUAGGAUGAGCCCAAGUGGGAUUAGGUAGUUGGUGGGGUAAAGGCCUACCAAGCCGACGAUCUCUAGCUGGUCUGAGAGGAUGACCAGCCACACCGGGACUGAGACACGGCCCGG
RNAcentral lists this ribosomal RNA (231 nucleotides) under uncultured bacterium. Its description in RNAcentral is "partial 16S ribosomal RNA". It matches the Rfam family "Bacterial small subunit ribosomal RNA", at positions 99 to 334 of the family's 1533-position model. The record is from RNAcentral.